Ictalurus punctatus (channel catfish) is the source of this 1151-nucleotide long non-coding RNA. The record is from Ensembl. NCBI's taxonomy places the organism in Eukaryota, Metazoa, Chordata, Actinopteri, Siluriformes, Ictaluridae.
GGCAACGUUUAUGCCUAUCUGUACAAGAACGGUUACACAGUGCAGAACGGCAAUGUAAUUCAGAUGAAUAUUUGGGACACAGUGAAGAACAAGGCAAGGUUUACUCUAAAAGAAGUCACGAUGCGAGACGCUGGAACGUACUUCUGUUUUCUGAUGUCAGAGCCAUGCCCUUUCCCUAAAGAAGUGCAUGGCAUCAAUGAAGUCAACCUUAACAUUACUGAAUAUGUUAAUGAAACUCUAAAGAUUACUCUUGGUUGUUCUUCUCUGCUGCUGCUGAUUAUUUUGUCUCUUGGACUUUGGGGAAUGUUUCAUAAGCAAGGUUGUUUUAAAUGCCACAGUGAAAGGUUUGUUUAUUUUUGUUUCUUACAAUUAUAUGCUUUUAGUUCAUUUAAAGUAAAUGGUCUGCACUUAUACAGCACUUUUAUCCAAAGCGCUUUACAUUGUGUCUCAUUCACCCAUUCACACACACACACCCAGAGUAGCUAAGGUUUUUAAAGCUAUACAAGUGCAGACCAUUUACCAAGCCAGAAUUGCUCAACUAUUAAAAAAAAAUGUUUUGUGUCAUCUGAUAUUUGUUUAUUUUCUACAAAGUAAAAAAAAAACAACAACAGGUGGACAUCCUCUAAGUGUGGUGAUUCCAUAAUUUUGCCAGGGGUUGUAUACUAGUAUUUAAUAUUCACACUGAAAUUUCGGUCAAAUAGAUCUACCGAACAUAGGAAUGACUCAAGAGACGCAGAGCUGGACCAAGGGUGUCCAAAAAGUCUCAGUACAUUGGGCACUACGUAUGCCAGCAUCCUGUCGGUUGUGCCAGUGGAUGUUCAUGGACGUCCUCGUCUGUUUGGCGACAGUGUCGUGUGUGAUGUGCUCUCCCUGUUUCCUGUUCAAGUCCAUCGCAACCUUGAGAUGGUUUCCCGAUCCAGCCAUGAGAAUGAUUUCAACAUGUAUUUCUUUUGUUAAAGGCAUUGUUAAAGGGUAUCUGAAAAAAAAAUCUAUAUACAAUAUAAACUAAGUAGUAAAAAAUUUGGAGGACAUUUGGCUAAAAAGUGUUAAUUUCCUCUAUGUAUGGAGACUUUUGGGACACCCUUUACUGUCUUGAAAUGAUCAUUUUCUCACAUGAAUUUUUCACUAUUAACAGGUGAAAUGCAGAAUGA